GACGAACGCUGGCGGCGUGCCUAAUACAUGCAAGUAGAACGCUGAAGGAGGAGCUUGCUUCUCCGGAUGAGUUGCGAACGGGUGAGUAACGCGUAGGUAACCUGCCUGGUAGCGGGGGAUAACUAUUGGAAACGAUAGCUAAUACCGCAUAAGAGUAGAUGUUGCAUGACAUUUGCUUAAAAGGUGCAAUUGCAUCACUACCAGAUGGACCUGCGUUGUAUUAGCUAGUUGGUGAGGUAACGGCUCACCAAGGCGGCGAUACAUAGCCGACCUGAGAGGGUGAUCGGCCACACUGGGACUGAGACACGGCCCAGACUCCUACGGGAGGCAGCAGUAGGGAAUCUUCGGCAAUAGACGGAAGUCUGACCGAGCAACGCCGCGUGAGUGAAGAAGGUUUUCGGAUCGUAAAGCUCUGUUGUAAGAGAAGAACGAGUGUGAGAGUGGAAAGUUCACACUGUGACGGUAUCUUACCAGAAAGGGACGGCUAACUACGUG
This 495-nucleotide ribosomal RNA is filed under the name uncultured bacterium. RNAcentral's name for it is "partial 16S ribosomal RNA". It matches the Rfam family "Bacterial small subunit ribosomal RNA", at positions 28 to 507 of the family's 1533-position model. The record is from RNAcentral.